AGAAGCUUUCGCCUCCGCCUUCAGACUGGCCCUCAGGCUUCCCUGCUCAGAGGCAGGGAAUUGUGCAGCUGGAGUUUCAUUUUCCAAGAGGCAGGGUCUCAGUCUGUCACCCAGGCUGGAGUACAGUGGCACCAUCUUGGCUCACUCUAGCCUCGACCUCCUGGGCUCAAGUGAGCCUCCUACCUCAGUCUCCCAAAAUGCUGGGAUUACAAGCAUGAACCACUGUGACUUGCCUUCUUGGCAAUUUUAAAUGAAAGAAGAAGAUGGAAUAAUGCCUACUGAGGACUAUGUUUGAGGGGUGUUGUAUGACCCCGUUUUCCAUACCCAGCCAACUUGUCAUGUGACAAGUCCACAGAAAGAUGUUAUAUGACAGGAAUCUAUGAACUAGUCUUCCCUGAAAUGUACCUGACUACAGCUAACAUCAUAUCACAUGAUGAAAGACCGCGUUGUUUUCCCCUGAGGUUGGCACUGCAGCUGUGGGUGAUUCGGAUGGUCUGUUGGUGGAAUGUGGAGCUGGACGGGUCAAGGAGCACAGUGUGGAAAGAGGGACAAUUUGCUACAAGUUGGAGAUAAGAGACAUGGCAUACUGUGAAACCAGUGCUGACGGAAGAAGGUGACUUUCUUGGAAGGUCAAGACACUUGCUUGACAGCGAUGUCCAGGAGGGCUAGGGAGAGUUCUGCUGGAAGUGAAGGCAGCACCUGAGGGUGGCUGAGGGAACUGGUCAGGGCUGGGAACGCCUCCAGCCCUUUGAGGAAUGAUUCGCUGAUUAAGAGAUGUUUGGCCUUGAAAAUUGCAAGAAUGAAAUCUCUUGGUGGGAAUGUGUAGCCAAAAGCCAGCACCCUGAGUGGCUCCAAGGUUUGGGGACCCUCUCAAGGCACAAAUCCCAGUUCCUUUUCAAUUUUGAAAAUCGUUGUGGGCGAUUCUGGAAUUGAGAAGUGUGCUGAGAGCCAUGGAUUUAACAUGACAAGAAUUUCCGCCCCUUCGUCACUGAGCACACCGCAAAUGCUCCAGGGCCAGGGACUUACUUGGGCUUCUGCGUGUCUUCCACAGUGUGCAUCAAUCCGCCGGGCUCUGGUUGGUGUUUAAAAAAAAAGAUGCAGCGAAGGAAUCUGGUGUGGACAAACGCCCUGGGCAUGGACCAAAAGCCUGGCCCUUGUGUCCCUGGCAAUGGGACGGUGAAGGACAGAAAGACAGCACAUCCAGUAGUGUCAGGAGCUUGGAGCAGGCAUUCGGAAGCAUCUGUUAAAUGUUAUUGAUGGAGGAUUGACAUAACCCACAUCUGCAUAGCUUUUUUGGUCUGUUUUUGGAAGUGAACAGUCACAAACAAAAACAACUUUGGUUCAGGUCAUUUAUAGGCCCAGAUCCUCUAUCCUUAGAGGUUUCCCACCAGAUAUACUAUUUCACUAUCUAUGCCAGGAAAGUUACGUAAAACCACGCAGAAUUUUACCUGACAACGAAAUAGACCUUUUCGUUAGAUCCUCCACCCCACCUAAAGCAGUUACACAGGCUGAAAUGAAACUGUUAAAGGAAUGAACUAACUUGGAGAUAGAAUCAUCGCCUUUGCUGAACACCAUUUUAAGAAUAUUGGAAUAUAUAGGGGUACCAGCAUAAUAGUAAAAUGUGCCCAUAUUAUCUAUAAUUUUAUGCUGGGCACUUUUUAGAAAUUAUUUUUUAUAACUUUGUCUUUGAGAUGAUUUGGCUACAAGUUCAUUACAUUUAGUUUACAACUGGCUUUGAUUUCUUGGCAUUCGUUGUGUAUUAUUAGGAAACCCCGCAGAGAGAAAAUGUAAACUCCAAAUUGCUUUAAAAUAUUAUGAUAGUUUUUAGGGAUAUUACACUGUGACAGUGAAUGAAAUGGACGUAACGUUCUGUUUUGUAGAUAUUUUGUGAAAUCUUUAUUAGUCUUGAUUUUCUUUGGAACAAGUCAUUCCUGUUCUGGGCUGAAGCCUGAAAAUUCCCUGACCUGUGACCCUGGCCCAAGGCUCCUCUUGGAUAAAACAGUGUUUCCUGGACCAGAGGGCAAAGUCACAGAAACAUGAUGUGACGAAAUCUAAAUAGAAAGCAAACUCCAACAGGCCCCAAACGAGCUGAGAAAAUAUCCAACUUCAAAGGUUUUGCACAAAUCAUCUUAAAGGCCUGACCUAAGCCCGGAAAGCCGGAACGAAGCCCAGAAAUCAGUCCUCAUUUCAUCGCCGUUUAGCCAAGACACCUUUCCCGUCCACAGAUCACAUCUGCCCCCUUCUGCCCCCGCCCAGGUCCCAACCACCUUGAGACACCUGCGUGAUCCAUCCUCAAAGCAAUGAGUUAGGAGCCGCACUCCUGGUCCUUGGCCGGUGGCUUCAGUGUUAUUCCGGGGGGCUGGGUGGGGGCACCUGUGGGGACUGCCCCGUGAGGCUGUGGUUUAAUUUCCUUUGCUACUUUCCUUAGCUCUUCAGUCUCAGUCUCAGCCACUGAAAUGUGUCUUGGCCACUGGUGGUACAGCACAGGGUGACACUGUUGUCAGCGAGAGGAAGAUGCUUUUUUUUUUUUUGAGAUGGAGUUUUGCUCUGUUGCCCAGGCUGGAGUGCAGUGGUGCAAUCUUGGCUCACUGCAACCUCCACCGCCCGGGGUUCAAGCGAUUCUCCUGUCUCAGCCUCAUGAGUAGCUGGGAUUACAGGCACCCACCACCAUGCCCAGCUAAUUUUUGUAUUCUUAGUAGAGAUGGGGUUUUGCCAUAUUGGCCAGGCUGGUGUCGAACUCCUGACCUCAGGCGGUCCACCUGCCUUGGCCUCCCAAAGUGCUGGGAUUAUAGACAUGAGCCACUGCGCCCAGACAGGAAGAUGCGUUUGUGAGCCGGGACAAUUGUGAGUGGAAAGAGAAGAAAAAAAGUAAAAUAAUAAUACUAAUAAUGCCUUUUCUCUGGUCCUGGAAGAUCUAUAUGAACUUGUAUUUUACAUCUCUUGUCUGGAUUUAGCUGUGAAAGACCAGUAGACCAACUGGUGGGAAAAAUACUUGCACGGCAGCAGGUUGUUUGAAUAAAAUAGGAGAUUUCCAGUCUCA
Molecule: long non-coding RNA, 3040 nt
Filed under: Homo sapiens (human)
Lineage: Eukaryota; Metazoa; Chordata; Mammalia; Primates; Hominidae
Description: CLDN14 antisense RNA 1, transcript variant 1 (CLDN14-AS1)
Source: RNAcentral